CAGUAGCCGCGGGAAUACGUAGGUGGCAGGCGUUGUCCGGAAUUAUUGGGCGUAAAGGGCUCGCAGGCGGUUUCUUAAGUCUGAUGUGAAAGCCCCAGGCUCAACCGGGGAGGGUCAUUGGAAACUGGGAAACUUGAGUGCAGAAGAGGAGAGUGGAAUUCCACGUGUAGCGGUGAAAUGCGUAGAGAUGUGGAGGAACACCAGUGGCGAAGGCGACUCUCUGGUCUGUAACUGACGCUGAGGAGCGAAAGCGUGGGGAGCGAACAGGAUUAGAUACCCGGGUAGUCCCUGUCUCUUAUAC
RNAcentral lists this ribosomal RNA (301 nucleotides) under uncultured bacterium. RNAcentral's name for it is "partial 16S ribosomal RNA". It matches the Rfam family "Bacterial small subunit ribosomal RNA", at positions 509 to 807 of the family's 1533-position model. The record is from RNAcentral.